AUUUCAGCUCAGAGUCAAACCGUCAGAAAUUCACCCCCGAUUGAAGACCUUCUCACCGUCUGAUCCAACUCAAAUUUGGAGAUCUUAAAGAUGGAAAUAUCAGCUUUCCAGCACACUUUACAGCUUGGCAAUCCAACGGUUCAAUCAAAAGAUACGCGAAGAGCAAGAUGUCCCGUAAACCAGCCGGCUAGCGUUUCCACCCGCGGCCAACAGACCAUUCCCCGCGGUCACAAGCUACCCGAUCGCAGCCAGCCACCCAUUUCCCGCGGUCGCGCACUCCCCACCGCGGCCAGCUAACUCCGACUCUGAAGGCCCAUUUCUGAAGGCCAUAUCAUUUUGCCAGCCUUGAUUCCGGAAGCCUAGACCCUAGAGAUGUCUUGAGCACUAUAAAUACAUGUUUUAGGAACCCUAAUUCGUAUGACCUCAUAUGCUCAUAUUGUUUUAGAAUACGUUUUAAGUUUUAGGUUUUAGGGAGAG
Molecule: long non-coding RNA, 477 nt
Filed under: Eutrema salsugineum
Lineage: Eukaryota; Viridiplantae; Streptophyta; Magnoliopsida; Brassicales; Brassicaceae
Description: long non-coding RNA (ESAL_LNC000357)
Source: RNAcentral